This 452-nucleotide long non-coding RNA is filed under the name Manihot esculenta (cassava). RNAcentral describes it as "long non-coding RNA (MESC_LNC013102)". The record is from RNAcentral. Lineage: Eukaryota; Viridiplantae; Streptophyta; Magnoliopsida; Malpighiales; Euphorbiaceae.
UUGAGUUGGUUCACAUAUACAUCAUAAAAUAGGAUCAUGUACAUACCAAGGGAUUAACAUAUACUAUGGUCAAGCACAUCUCUAUCCUCAAUAACAUAGUUACAUAACAUAACUGUUCAAACUUUACAUUACAUUCUUAUCAUAUGUCAUGUCCACAUACUCUAGCUAUUACAUACAUAUGACUUGACUUCACUCUAGCCGACUUCUUGAUCUCUCCUGUACCUGCAACUUUGGGGAUAAGGGGAGUGGGGUGAGCUAAAAGCCCAGUGAGCAGAAACUAAAAACAUUUGUUUUAAUUCCUCCAUUUUUAGGUACAUUAUUAUUCAUUUUUAUUUUUAUUAUCAAAUAACUUUUAUUUUCUUUCUUCUUCUUAUUCAUGCUUUCAUGUAUGCGUCAUAACACAAACAUUUCACAACAAGGAUGAACUUGUCACCAUUUAGCCCCUAUCUUUC